Molecule: ribosomal RNA, 375 nt
Filed under: uncultured organism
Description: partial 16S ribosomal RNA
Rfam family: Bacterial small subunit ribosomal RNA
Source: RNAcentral
GUAGGUGGCAAGCGUUGUCCGGGAAUUAUUGGGGCGUAAAGCGCGCGCAGGCGGUUCUUUAAGUCUGAUGUGAAAGCCCACGGGCUCAACCGUGGAGGGUCAUUGGAAACUGGAGGACUUGAGUACAGAAGAGGAAAGCGGAAUUCCACGUGUAGCGGUGAAAUGCGUAGAGAUGUGGAGGAACACCAGUGGCGAAGGCGGCUUUCUGGUCUGUAACUGACGCUGAGGCGCGAAAGCGUGGGGAGCAAACAGGAUUAGAUACCCUGGUAGUCCACGCCGUAAACGAUGAGUGCUAAGUGUUAGGGGGCUUCCGCCCCUUAGUGCUGCAGCUAACGCAUUAAGCACUCCGCCUGGGGAGUACGGCCGCAAAGGCUG